CUCCAGGAUAGCGGACUCUGUGGAACUGGUUUUGGCUGGAAAGCCAUGCUUCGGUGGUCACAAAGGACUUCAACCUAACUUUUAAACCAAUGGAAGGAAUUGUCUGAUUUUUGAGUAUGUUUGUAUUUAGAGUAUGCUGAUUCUAAAAAUGUGUAUGUGAUGUAUACUUUUGGAGUCAUGAAUAAUUGCGUUAGCCCAUUGUGUUCAGUAAUUAUAUCACAGGCAGAGGGGAGGAUUUUGUGUGGGAGUGUCUGAGUGUAUU
Molecule: non-coding RNA, 262 nt
Organism: Pelobates cultripes (western spadefoot toad)
Lineage: Eukaryota; Metazoa; Chordata; Amphibia; Anura; Pelobatidae
Source: the annotation of a GenBank genome assembly